RNAcentral lists this long non-coding RNA (808 nucleotides) under Zea mays. Its description in RNAcentral is "long non-coding RNA (ZMAY_LNC003599)". The record is from RNAcentral. Lineage: Eukaryota; Viridiplantae; Streptophyta; Magnoliopsida; Poales; Poaceae.
GAAAAGUAUUUAAAAACACAAGGAAAAGGGUUGCAUGCACCGGGGCUUGCCUGAGUAACACUAGGUUAGUGUUGUUAAACGACGUCCACUUGGCGACCAUCAUCAGGUUGGUCUAUCAGUUUCAUCCUGUGGAUUAGCCCGCGUUUGGGGUCGACUUGGGUCGUCUUCCGCAUCGCGCGAUUAAUAAGCGUACCUAAAUGAUUUGCAUAAUGCACAUGAAUGCAUAGCACUGACUUCACUGCACAACUAAAAUUCUUCGUAUGAAAUGUCGAUAGCGCCUACCGGCAAGGCACUAAAAUUACUAAGCAAAUAAAUUCAGCUUACCAGCAUCAAACGUGACCCAAUACUCGUGCGAAUGCUGAUAAAUCCUGGCUUGAGCUUGUCGUCGAACAUCUGACGAGUGUCGUGCGGCUUCACCUUCUUCUUCAUACCUUCCGGUGAUUUCUCUCAAACCAGCGACGAUCGACAAGGAUUACGAACAUGACGAGAGGGCGAAAACCAUCUAUCACAACAACUCUCUACCCCGCAACCAGCAUCUAAAAUAGCCCUACGAAGCAAUGUCAAGAUCUUUCGGCCCCGUGACCCAGAUGGGGCUGACCAUGAGGAGGCGAAACACGAUGAGACGCAUAUCGGAAGAGUUACCGAGAUUAAAGAUGAUGACACGCGCCAUGGCGAGGCAGAGAUGGAGGAUGAGCACAUGAAGGGACACAUGAUGUUAUCGCACACAGCGCAAAGGCGAACGACAACGACACAGAUAGUGUUGGACAUGGCCGAAUCUGUUCAGAGCUUCAAAUCGACGGCCACCAGG